GCCAGGCAUUGUGGCGGGCGCCUGUGAUCCCAGCUACUUGGGAGGCUGAGGCAGGAGACUUGCUUGAGCCCAGGAGUUGGAGGUUGCUGUGAGC
This is a microRNA precursor of Otolemur garnettii (small-eared galago), 94 nucleotides long. Lineage: Eukaryota; Metazoa; Chordata; Mammalia; Primates; Galagidae. The record is from Ensembl.